UCUUGUUCCAGCCCUGGUGAGCUCUGUGCCUGACUCCCUUGCCAGGACCAGCCUGUGGGGACAUGAGCCUGCUGCAGGCCAGUGACAUCCAGUGGGGCUUUGCUGAGCAGCCUUGGAAGUUGGGGCAGGGCCAUGGAAGCUGUUGGCACCUCUCUGCCACCAUGGUGCCCAGAGGCACCACCUGCUUGAGUAAAGAUUGUCUUGGCCUCACGUCCUGGACAGAAGAGGCAGAAAAUCACCAGUGGGCACCUGCUGGGUGCUGUGUGCUCUCCCUGCCUGGUGUCCCCAGAUGCCCACAUCAGUGCAAGAGGCGGCCCUUUUUACCUGUGCUGCAGGCUGGUGGAAUCCGAGCACGCUCAGACGGAGGUGCCUCAGCUGAGGCUGGUGGAGAUCACUGCAGGAGUGACCCUGGGGCCCCAGGCUCUCCCUCCCGCUGAAUGCAUGUUGCAGGGGUCUCUGGGUCUGGCUUUGCUCACUGUGUCCUUUCUCUUUCCUCCCCAGCACCACUGCCAUCGUCACCCUGACAGGCUGAAGAACUCCUUCCCUCCCCCAGGACUGCAACGGUUCCAGGUCAUAACAGAGAAUGUCAGUGGCACAGGCAACCUGCCACAGGUCACAGCUGUCACUCCAGAGGGGAGCACUGGUUUGGAGAGGGACAGAGCUGGGGUCCACUCCUUCCUGGUGGUAUGACCUGGCUUGGGGCUGAGGAUACAGAAACAGAAGACCUCCCCACUGGAACCUGUUGUCCAGAGGAGCCAGCACACGAGGCAGAGCCAGAUGGUAGUUCCCAGCCGCUGCAUUGCGUGUCUCUGGGAACACCCUGACCUCUUCGCUGUGGUUUCCCCUCCUAUCCAGCACAACCAUGGGCUUGUGGGUGCCCCAAGGCCAUCAUGAAGUGGAGGAUGAAGAAGACAGUGUAAGCCCAGAGCGGGGUACUGUGCCUGGCCACGAGCUCUGUGGGGGCUGCUGCCAUCAGGACUGUGACCGCCCUGACGAUCUGCUCUGCCCCGAUAUUUUGGGUAUCACCUUUGUGUUUCACCAUGACCCUCACAUGGAGCUUGCAGAAGGGAAAACUGAGGCCUGGGCUGGGAGAUGUCAUGCUUGAGCUCGUAUUUCCAGAAGUCAGGCUGGGUUGGAAGCUGGUUCUGUCCACCACACCCCACUGGCUUCACUGAACCAUCUGCCCAGCUGAACAGAGCCCUGGGGGCAGACGGGCCUUCCAGGAGCAGAGCUGAGGGCCUGCUGGGAUUCCAGGGGUGGGUGGGUUGGGGUCUCCCCUGGCAUACCAUCCCCCAUCUUCUCCCCAUGGCUCUGUGCACGGUGACUGCCCGGGCCUGCCUUCCCCUCGUCCCUCAUAGCUUACAUUCCUCUGGAAGUUUCUCCCUGGCUGACAGAGGGUCAGGCCUCGGCGUGCAUAAGCGCGUAGCCCUCCCCACCCCGGGGCUUGGCAGUGGGUUUCCAGGCUCCCUCGGCUCCUUGGUCUGUCCUUGGCCCUCCUGGUCCAUCCUUAGGCCUCCCCAGGUGCCUGCAUCCAAGUUGCUCAGCUGGAACAACACUGAUCCUGGAGACAGAGGCCCGAGUUAGGGCACGGAGCACAAGAGGAAAGUAGGUGGGCAUGAGAAAGGGGCAGGAGCUAACACCCAGGGCUGUCUGUCCCCAGUUAGGAAGGUCACCGCUUAAUUGACAGUCCUUGGUAAGCCUUGGUUCUCCUCAUUUGAAAAAUGAUAGCAUAAACAUCUGCCUCUCAGAAUCAUGAGCAUUCCAUGAGACUGUAAGAUACUCAUGUGAUGUCUCCCAAGAGGACUGAACAAUGUCAAAAACCGGGCGUGGUGGCUCACCCCUGUGAUCCCAGCACUCAGGAGGCAGAGGCAGGAGGAUCAUUAUGAGUUCAAGACCUUUCUGGGCUACAGAGUGAGUUCAAGGCCAGACUAAAUGGCAUAGUGAGAUCCUUCUCAAAAAGACAAAAAACAAGACAACAACAAAAAAUUAUGUGUCUAGAUUACAGUGAGAGUUUUCCAGGAGCACAGGGACACCAGAGAGGCCUCCCAGCAGAGGGAAUGGCUUGUGCAGAGCCCAGGAGGUUGGACGCGCAGGAGGAGCAGGAGGCUCCAUGGACCAGCACUGCCAGGGCCAUCUCAAAGCUGCAGGCGCAUCACCAGCUAACGCUUAGCAAGACCGUGCCAUGAGCUACACUGUCCCUCGUCACGCACCGCCGCCACCAUGUCUUCUCCACACCAGUGAGGUUGGCACUGUCAUUAUCCCUAUUUCACAUUUGUGGAAACUGAGGCACAACAGAGAUGAAGUCAUUUGCCCAAAGUCGCACAGUGAGCAGCAGAAGCAGGAAGUGAUCCUGGGAAGGGUCUGGGUGACAGUGUGGCAGACGGGGGUCUUGACCUUUCCCAUGUCCUCUUCUCCCCCUAACAGAGGCUGGGCCUGACCUUUGGCAUCGCGGGGCAGAAGGAGCCACAGAGGUGGCCUAAGUGUUCCCCCGCUGCAACCCUGUGCUUGUCUCAUGGCUGGGAGAGCAGGGGUCUAGGACCCUGCCAGGGCGGGGCCAGCUGCAGUGGCUGGUACCUGGCUGCCUGCAGUGGCCCUGGAUGUCCACUGCUCAGAGGGUGCCCUCUGGAGGGUGCCGGCAGAGGCAGCUCGGAAGCCCACCUGCCAGUGCGCGUUGGCAGCCUCCUGGGGCCGCAGAGCUGCUGCGCAGGGCGGGUUUGUAAGUACACGUGUCUUUGGCUCCUUCUCCUCAUUAAGCCACGUAAUGGUUUUGCCCCGCACACAUUUGCCACGGCCCAGCUGGGGGGCUUUCAGGGGAAGGCCCGAGCCCUUCUGGGACCAUGUCCUCCUUCCCCAGGUUCUGGGCAUGGGGACCCAGUGGCGUCUCAGCCCUACUGGGAGCCCUAAUGUGUGCACAGCAGGUCCAGUCUGAGAGGAGUGGUGGGUGGAGGUUCGGACCUGGGCCAGAAGUUCACCCGGCCUAGGAGCUGUGGUCCUGGGGUUCCUCAGUGAGGAAGCCACGUGCAGCUCCCCACAGGGUGCUGAGAGGACUGAAUCGGGCUCAUGUCCACACUCCAGGGCAGUGUGGACACACAAGACAGUGGACUCUCUUCCGUCUUGCAGAUUCAUUAACCGAGGCGUGGAGAGAAGCCCCUGCCUGCGCCUCCUUCUGCCCUGGGUCACAGACCUCUCUCAUAGUCACGGGUCUCAAAGUGGGAAGGAGAAAUAGAAGGAGGGGAAUCUUCCUUGUUUAAAAUCAGCAAGCACGGAACUAGCCUCUUCUCUAAGCUUAUAAACAGUGCUGUGUGUGGCUGUGGAAGUCAGGGCAGCACAGAGGCUCAGAGAGGGUAAGUGGCAUGCUCCUGGUCACACAGCGGGGACGGACUAGUCCUAUAGGUCAGGGGAGACCGAUAUCCUGGCCUUUCUGGGAGGUUGGGACAGGUAUCAUUGCCUCUUUGGGCUCAGGCUCUUUGGAGUUGGCAGGCAGAGAUUAGAAGGAAGCCUGUGGGAGGCGAUGGUGGACAGAACUCAGAGGAGCUGGAGGUCCUGUUGGAGCGGGAUGGAUGCUGUGACCCUCCUGGCCCAGCCCAGGCACAGCUGUAGCCACCUGCACCCGGCUCUGGACAGGUGCCCUCAGACACUAAUGCACACGUAUGAUGUCACGCAUGCCCAGACCCCAGCCACAGGCGUGGUGCUUUCAGACAGACUCCUGUGCCCAUGUGCCCAUGUGAAUGCCCAUGUGUGCACCGUGGUGAACAUACGAUUUCCCUUCUGCACCCCUGCACAGUACACCACUUGGUGGCUGGAGGUUUGCCCUUUUCCAUGCCCUGACCCCUAAGAUUUCCAGGGAAAUAAUCAAAACAUGACAGAGGAAGGAAAGACACUGAGCGACGUGUCAAAAGAGAAGAGACUUUUGGAAUGUCUUUGUGAUUGCAAGUCAGUGCUCGAUUUAGCCUUUGAUUUUCCUGGAGGCCCAGGUAACAAAGGAUCGUUGGGAUUUUUUACCCGCCCUUCACUGCUAGCACUGUGACAAGAACCAUGGAAGCUCUUGGAUAAGAAAGCCACCUGGGACCUGGAGACCUAUAUCAAAACAGCGUGACCGUGCUGAGCGUUCACGAUGUCUACUGUCGCUGCUGGGACUUGGGCUGAUGGGCCACAGUGCUGAAGUCCUCUUCUUCGUUUCUCACCCCAGACAGGGAGCUCCAGGCCUCUGUCUGAGCUGUGCCCCUGGCCUGGAGCACCCCGCCCACCACUCUGUGCCCUUUCUUUCAGGAAUCCUCCCUGAGCCACCCCAGCCUUCUUGGGGCUCCUGGAUUGUCUACACACACAGUGCUCCUUCCUGCCAGAGGCCCCAAGGGCAAGGGUGGGGGCUGUUGGUUUUGGCAGCCUCAGUGCCUGGCCCAGGCCUUGGCAUGGAGUUAGUGCCUAGAAGGGGUUUGCUGAAUGAAUACCUGUCGUUAAGAGGCCCACGCCCUGUCCUCCCCUCUGCACCUGUCCCCGGCAGGCAGAGCACCUGGAGUUCUGGUGUGUUGCCUCCCCGGGAGCUCCGGCUUCUCCAGGCCUGCCCUUGCCCGCCCAGGAGGGUGGGGCUUAACUCCCAGGUGUCUCCAACCUCAUGGAGCUGUCAAGAGUGGGAGAGGGCUGGAGGCCAGAACUCUCUGGUGCCUUGGCUUGUAGGGAUUGGCCAAGCAGGACUAGAGUAGAGGGAGAGCUUCUGACCAGAGCCUCUUUGGUAGUCAUUUCUUCACACUCCUUCUCUCCUGCACCUGGCCUUCCCACCUGUCGGUGUUCCAUAGCAGCUCCUUUGGUGGGAGCUAGUCUGUCCCCAUUGCACAGAUGUGGAAACUGAGGCUCAGAGGGUUUUGUUUCCCAGGUUUCUCAGCUUAGAAGACGAGGCCAGGGAGUGGACUCUACACUCUGAAUGCUCACAGCCCAAGCACAGGAGGAAAAAAUGGAGGAGGUGGUUUGGCAUAUCUAAAAGGUGACAGCCACUUGGGAGGAGCAGAGGACACUGAGUGUGCACCCUCGCUGUACACCUGUGGUCACACUUACACCACCUGCAUGCACACUCAUCGGGGUCCACUGUGGCUCCUGCACUCAGGUGGUACAGUGAAGCCUUGGCCCCACCGUGCUCUGGACUGCAAGCCCACGCGCCACUCACGGGUGCCACCCGCACACAGGACACACCGAACCUGCACCUCUCCUUGUCACCCUUCUGCACCCCGUCCUGUGCUAUCCACGGAACCCAGUGCUCACACACCGGUGCACAUUGCUGCACACCCUGCACACAGCUGCCUCCCGUCCGCAGCCACACACCCUCUCACACCUGGAAAUCCCUGGCUCCAGUCGCCACCCUCCAGGGGAUGGCCUCGUCGGGCACUGGCUGCUCCUGCCAGCUCUGGGAGCAGGUGUUCCCAGCCGCUCAGGCUUGCCUCGGGGUGGGGCGCGGCCCUGACCUGGGGUACAGGGCCAGGAAGUGCUGUGGGUGCGAGGCCAGGAUGCUCACACCUGUGCAGACCUGCCUGGGGUGGGUGCCAGCAUGGUGGCCACUCCCUCUACCCUGCAGCCUAGCGUAAGGCAGCCGCUGGCAGGUGGGGACACCGAUCUCAUGUUCCUGGAGUGUCAGGGAAACCCGAAGUGGGGCUUGGCAGGCAGGCCUGGGCCAGGCUGCUCUCUGAUUCAAAGCUCUGACUUUUCUCCGGUGGCAGGCUCUGCAUCUCAGCCCUCCCCUCUGUAAAAUGGGUAUACAUGCAGCCCCCCUGCAGGACUGGAGGGAGGCUUAGGCAGACGUGAGUCCCAUAUUUAGGAUUCUAGUAAGACAGGGACUUCGAGGGCUGUGGCUUUCCUGCAGCACCCCUCCUCCUGCCUACUUGCUGUACUUGUAAAUACCUUGAUUGAAUGAUAAUUCAUAAUCGA
This is a long non-coding RNA of Cavia porcellus (domestic guinea pig), 5913 nucleotides long. RefSeq lists it as uncharacterized. The record is from RefSeq and is a predicted model, not a curated record. The transcript is spliced from 2 exons. Lineage: Eukaryota; Metazoa; Chordata; Mammalia; Rodentia; Caviidae.